This 335-nucleotide unclassified non-coding RNA is filed under the name soil metagenome. Its description in RNAcentral is "partial contains 5.8S ribosomal RNA, internal transcribed spacer 2, and large subunit ribosomal RNA". The stretch from base 1 to 120 matches the Rfam family "5.8S ribosomal RNA", at positions 35 to 154 of the family's 154-position model. The record is from RNAcentral.
GAUGAAGAACGUAGCGAAAUGCGAUAAGUAAUGUGAAUUGCAGAAUUCAGUGAAUCAUCAAAUCUUUGAACGCACAUUGCGCCCGCCAGCACUCUGGCGGGCAUGCCUGUUCGAGCGUCAUUUCAACCAUCAAGCCCCAGGCUUGUGUUGGAGCCCUGCGGCCGUCCGCAGCCUCCUAAAAUCAGUGGCGGGCUCGCUAUCACACCGAGUGCAGUAGUUUACUCUUCGCUCAGGACGUGUAGCGGGUUCCGGCCGUGAAACCCCCCAAUUUUCAAGGUUGACCUCGGAUCAGGUAGGAAUACCCGCUGAACUUAAGCAUAUCAAUAAGCGGAGGA